GAGAAAAAAAAAUUGUUGUUAAAAUAUUAUGUGGCAUAUAGAAAAAAUUUUUGAAUCCACCUAGGCAUGCCCGCAUCAUCUUUUAGCUAGAGCUCUCAUCGGAAAGUGAUAUAAGGGAUUUUGGGUUGUAUUAAAUUAAAGUUCGAGUACUUUUGUGAUAUAAAUUGAAGUUCAAGGAUGGUGUUGAUAAAACCCCCAAAAUUCAAGGACGGUGGGUGAAAAUUAGCCCAUUGCGUUGGGAAGCAAUAUUCUUUUUUAAUGGAAGAAGUGAUUAUUAGCUAGGAAUAUUUUGAAAAUUGGAAAUGCAGUGUCAUUGAAAGAGGAAUCUAAUAUUCUAACCGAAAUGCAGUGUCAUGAAAGAGGAACUGCUGUCUCUUAGCUGAUGAAGUUGGGGGGACCCUAAUAAUUCACAUUUUAUUGUAAAGAAAAGGUGCUCCUCUAUUGUUUGAUUGUUGCGCUUUGUGCUUAUAAAAUUUCCAUAAAUAGACUUGGUUAGAUUCUAUUUGAUCACUUGCACUAACUGUCUCUGAAUGAUGCAAAGGAUGACAUAAAGAGAUAUUUUUGUGGAAGGACAAUUGUGAUCAGGAUUAGCCUUUAAAUUCUGAAUUUACACUUUAC
This 618-nucleotide unclassified non-coding RNA is filed under the name Hevea brasiliensis (rubber tree). The record is from RNAcentral. Lineage: Eukaryota; Viridiplantae; Streptophyta; Magnoliopsida; Malpighiales; Euphorbiaceae.